Long non-coding RNA from Xiphophorus hellerii (green swordtail), 891 nucleotides. RefSeq lists it as uncharacterized. NCBI's taxonomy places the organism in Eukaryota, Metazoa, Chordata, Actinopteri, Cyprinodontiformes, Poeciliidae. The record is from RefSeq and is a predicted model, not a curated record. The transcript has 2 exons.
ACCAUAAGAUAAUUCUGUUAAAAGGAUAUCUUAAGAUAGAAACACAGGAUCAUGGUCAGAAAAUGUUCCCCACGUGUUUUAGUUUUGAUUGAAAUUCUGAAGCUUUGAAGGUGAUAGAACUGAAAUUAAUAAAUUAGAAUAUUGAUGAUUUAAUCAAUGUAGUCAUUCUAGCUGUGUCCGCAUGUAAACCAGAUCACUAUCAGUUAGCACCUCUUUGCUGUCUCCAGGGAUUCUUGGCAGACUAUUGGAUGAUGCAACCUCCUGUUUUUGACUGGAUUUCAAAAUAUAAGUGCAAAAAUGGGACUUCUUGAUGGUCGCACCACAUGAUAUUCAGUUAAAAGGACAUUUACAGACAAACUUUGUUUAAAUGUUAUAAUGGAAUUAUAACUAAAAAUGCCUUGAAAAUUUGUACAGGAUGAAGAAAAUACUCUGAAAAUCAUGCCAAACAGGAAAGAAAACAUAUUUGAACAGAUUUAAUGUACUUUUAAGACAUUUUGAAACAGUAAUUGAGUUCGGUCAGUCGCAUGACAUUUUGACCCUUUAAAAACCACAAAAAUGGCCAAGAAAAACAGCUCUGUAAGGUUAAAGAAGUUGUUUAUGUGGGAGGUAUAUUACAUAUCUGUGGUUUCUUUUUAUGAGUUUUAACCUUGUUGGAUUCACUCCUCCCAUUCCGCUAGGGGGCGCUGUAGUCGCUUUGCAUUGGUGGAGGUGAAACGAGAGAAGAAACUUACGGCAGGCCAGUAAUGCACUGAGACUGCAGUUAGCUGAAGCUAACAAGCUGAAUCUACAAUAAAAUCAUAUUUUAAUGGCAUUCAUGAGUGUUGCCCAACGUGUUUAACCGGACGGCACAUCCGUGUAAAAGCACUCGGCAAUAAAAUUAACAACAACAAC